AUUGAACGCUGGCGGCAUACCUUACACAUGCAAGUCGAACGGUAACAGGUCUUCGGAUGCUGACGAGUGGCGAACGGGUGAGUAAUACAUCGGAACGUGCCUAGUAGUGGGGGAUAACUACUCGAAAGAGUGGCUAAUACCGCAUGAGAUCUACGGAUGAAAGCAGGGGAUCGCAAGACCUUGUGCUACUAGAGCGGCCGAUGGCAGAUUAGGUAGUUGGUGGGAUAAAAGCUUACCAAGCCGACGAUCUGUAGCUGGUCUGAGAGGACGAUCAGCCACACUGGGACUGAGACACGGCCCAGACUCCUACGGGAGGCAGCAGUGGGGAAUUUUGGACAAUGGGCGCAAGCCUGAUUCAGCAAUGCCGCGUGCAGGAUGAAGGCCUUCGGGUUGUAAACUGCUUUUGUACGGAACGAAAAGCCCUGGGUUAAUACCCUGGGGUCAUGACGGUACCGUAAGAAUAAGCACCGGCUAACUACGUGCCAGCCGCCGCAGUAA
This 498-nucleotide ribosomal RNA is filed under the name uncultured bacterium. RNAcentral's name for it is "partial 16S ribosomal RNA". It matches the Rfam family "Bacterial small subunit ribosomal RNA", at positions 30 to 523 of the family's 1533-position model. The record is from RNAcentral.